UUUCCGUAGGUGAACCUGCGGAAGGAUCAUUAAGGAAUUCAAAAUAUGGACGUGCAUUUGUUGUGUGUGAUAAUUUUAUGAGCCUGAGCGAGUUGUCAGAUAUUUUUAGUCAAACAAAACCUUCAACAACGGAUCUCUUGGUUCUC
Molecule: unclassified non-coding RNA, 146 nt
Filed under: plant metagenome
Description: partial contains small subunit ribosomal RNA, internal transcribed spacer 1, and 5.8S ribosomal RNA
Source: RNAcentral